UCCCAGGUUUUAAAACCACAGUCUGACCCAGGAUCCUUUCCCCAGCUUUGCGAUUCAUUUGCUGUGAAACCAAGUUGGCCUCAUUCAGGAUCAGAGCUUAACCAUCACGACACAUGGGUGAGGGGAAGAUAAAUCACUGUUCCUCCAGCAUCCAAAAAUAUAUCCAAUCCCCCAUUCUUCAUGGCCAUGUGGAAGAAAGAUCCUACUUACUGGUACACCCAUCAACAAAAAACAAACCCAAAAUGGAGAAGAGAAG
Molecule: long non-coding RNA, 256 nt
Filed under: Homo sapiens (human)
Lineage: Eukaryota; Metazoa; Chordata; Mammalia; Primates; Hominidae
Description: HSALNT0301103
Source: RNAcentral